UACGUAGGGUGCAAGCGUUGUCCGGAAUUAUUGGGCGUAAAAGAGCUCGUAGGCGGUUUGUCGCGUCGAAUGUGAAAAACCCGGGGCUCAACCCCCGGGCCUGCAUUCGAUACGGGCAGACUAGAGUUCGGUAGGGGAGUCUGGAAUUCCUGGUGUAGCGGUGAAAAUGCGCAGAUAUCGGGAGGAACACCGGUGGCGAAGGCGGUUCUCUGGGCCUGUACUGACGCUGAGGAGCGAAAGCGUGGGGAGCGAACAGG
This 257-nucleotide ribosomal RNA is filed under the name uncultured bacterium. RNAcentral's name for it is "partial 16S ribosomal RNA". It matches the Rfam family "Bacterial small subunit ribosomal RNA", at positions 524 to 776 of the family's 1533-position model. The record is from RNAcentral.